GAUGAAGAACGUAGUGAAAUGCGAUAAUUAAUGUGAAUUGCAGAAUUCCGUGAAUCAUCGAGUCUUUGAAUGCACAUUGCGCCUCAUGGCAUUCCGUGAGGCAUGCCCAUCUCAGCGUUAGAAAAUAUUCUCAAAUUUUAGUUUUGUGCUAAAAUUUGGAUCAUGUCAAAGAAGCUAUUACUAUUAUUGUGAUCGCUCUUUGGAAAUUGAUAGGUCUUUGAGUUGUUACUCAUAGAACGUGAUGAAUCUUUCUUCGUUCUAUUGUAAUUCACUCUGGUAGUCCUAAAACUUGUAUGCCUGUGGCAUAUCUUGUAAUUUGACCUGAGAUUGGGUAGGGAUACCCGCUGAACUUAAGCAUAUCAAUAAGCGGAGGA
This 374-nucleotide unclassified non-coding RNA is filed under the name soil metagenome. RNAcentral's name for it is "partial contains internal transcribed spacer 2 and large subunit ribosomal RNA". The stretch from base 1 to 120 matches the Rfam family "5.8S ribosomal RNA", at positions 35 to 154 of the family's 154-position model. The record is from RNAcentral.